Molecule: non-coding RNA, 76 nt
Organism: Podarcis lilfordi (Lilford's wall lizard)
Lineage: Eukaryota; Metazoa; Chordata; Lepidosauria; Squamata; Lacertidae
Source: the annotation of a GenBank genome assembly
GGAAGGCUUAUAGCACAGUGGUAGAGCACAUCCUUUGCAUAUGAAAAGUCCCAGGUUCAACCCCUGGUGUUUUCCA